AAAAUUCAUAUGUAGAAACCUAAGCACUAAUGUGAUGGUAUUAAUAUUAGGAGGUGAGGGCUUUGGGAGGUGACUGGGCCAGGAGGGUGAAGCCCUCAUGAAUGAGAUUAAUUCCUCCGUGAAACAGGCCCCAGAGAGUUGCCAAUCCUCUUUCACCAUGUGAGGACACAGGAGACAGUGCCAUCUAUGAACCAGAAAGGAGGCCCUUACCAAACACUGAAUCUGCCAGUUUCUUAAUCUUGGACUUCCCAGCCUUUAGAUCUGUGGGAAAUACAUUUCUGUUGUUUAUAAGCUACCCAGUUUAUGGUAUUUUGUUAUAGCGGCCUGAAUGGACUAAGACAAGGUCCUUUAUGGCAGAAACAAAUUUAAAAAUGAAUAAACUUUUUUUUUUCCUGCUAGACCAGGAUAUGUGUUGUAUUUAGUCAUCAUGUCUUUUAGUUGCCUUCAAUCUGGAACAUUUUCUUAGUCUUUGCUUCUAUUUUGUGACUUUUUAACUUAAGGAGUACAGGCCAAUCAUUUGUUGAAUGCUUAUCAGUUUGGGUUUGUUUGAUAUUUCCUUAUAAUUAGAUUUAGUUUACACAUUUUUGGCAGAAAUAUCACAGAAAUAGUUCUUAGUAUAUCAAUCAGAAGGCACAUGAUGUCAAUUUAUCCCAUUACUGGUGAUAAUAAGUUUGAUUAUUUGGAUAAAUUGGUGUCAGCAGGGUUUCUUCACCAUAAAAUUAUUUUUACCUUUGAAAUUAGUAAGUAUCUAUGGAGAGUUACUUUGAAAUUUAUUACUAUAAUUGUUGCCAAAUGUUAGUUUUCUCAUUCCAUCUAUAUUUAUUAGUUGGCAUUCUGUUGCAAGGAAGAGCUUUCCCUUCUCCCCCAUUUAUUUGUUAAUUAAUUUUUAUGGAUUCAUAAAUGUCUGUUUUAUUCAGUGGGUUAUAAUCUGUUAUCAUUUAUUAUGAUGCUCAGAUUGUCUCAGAUUUGGCCAAUGGGAAUCCUUUUACCAGGGUUCCUGUGUCCGUUUGACAAUCCCCAUCAAUUUUUGAGCGUUUUUGUGCUUCUGGCACAAUAAGAUCUUUCCUGCCCCAGCUCUAGAAAUCAUUCAAGAGCCCUAGUUCUUUUUUGGCGGAGAAGUGUAUUUAAAAACCAAAAACUGACCACUAGGUGUACUCAUUGAUACCCAGGUUCGUCUCGAACUCCUGGCUUCAAGUGAUUUGCCCACCUUGGCCUCCCAAAUUGUGGGAUUACAGGCACGAGCCUGGCUGAGAUUUUAUAUCCUUAU
This 1267-nucleotide long non-coding RNA is filed under the name Pan troglodytes (chimpanzee). RNAcentral's name for it is "long non-coding RNA NONPTRT017157". The record is from RNAcentral. Lineage: Eukaryota; Metazoa; Chordata; Mammalia; Primates; Hominidae.